GGGGCGAGAUGACCUGGCGGCUGCUCACCAUGCAAGUCGAACGGUACAGGUCUUCGGAUGCUGACGAGUGGCGAACGGGUGAGUAAUACAUCGGAACGUGCCCGAGAGUGGGGGAUAACGAAGCGAAAGCUUUGCUAAUACCGCAUACGAUCUCAGGAUGAAAGCAGGGGACCGCAAGGCCUUGCGCUCACGGAGCGGCCGAUGGCAGAUUAGGUAGUUGGUGGGAUAAAAGCUUACCAAGCCGACGAUCUGUAGCUGGUCUGAGAGGACGACCAGCCACACUGGGACUGAGACACGGCCCAGACUCCUACGGGAGGCAGCAGUGGGGAAUUUUGGACAAUGGGCGCAAGCCUGAUCCAGCCAUGCCGCGUGCAGGAUGAAGGCCUUCGGGUUGUAAACUGCUUAUGUACGGAACGAAAAGACUCUGGUUAAUACCUGGGGUCCAUGACGGUACCGUAAGAAUAAGCACCGGCUAACUACGUGCCAGCAGCCGCGGUAAUACGUAGGGUGCGAGCGUUAAUCGGAAUUACUGGGCGUAAAGCGUGCACAGGCGGUUAUGUAAGACAGAUGUGAAAUCCCCGGGCUCAACCUGAGAACUGCAUUUGUGACUGCAUAGCUAGAGUACGGCAGACGGGGAUGGAAUCCGCGUGUAGCAGUGAAAUGCGUAGAUAUGCCGAAGAACACGAUUGGGAAGGCAACCCCUGCGCCUGUACUGACGCUCAUGCACGAAGCGUGGGGAGCCACAGGAUUGAAUCCCGGUAAUCAGGCUAAAGAU
This 775-nucleotide ribosomal RNA is filed under the name uncultured bacterium. RNAcentral's name for it is "bacterial SSU rRNA". It matches the Rfam family "Bacterial small subunit ribosomal RNA", at positions 20 to 807 of the family's 1533-position model. The record is from RNAcentral.